RNAcentral lists this long non-coding RNA (6923 nucleotides) under Sus scrofa (pig). RNAcentral describes it as "lncRNA (ENSSSCG00000061283.1, ENSSSCG00110002784.1)". Lineage: Eukaryota; Metazoa; Chordata; Mammalia; Artiodactyla; Suidae. The record is from RNAcentral.
AAGGGGUCGAUUUCCCCAACAACAGAGGGGAUGAAAUUCCCGAAAGAAUGGAUGUUAGAUAGAUAGAAGAUCAAUUUAUCCUACAUUUGAAGUGCCUAAAUUAUUGUCUAACUUCUUGCUGCUAUUUUAAUUUUCUGUUUUAUAAUAUUUUUAAGUUGUCUGGUAUCUAGUCCAUUCUUAUUACAGGUCCUGUUUUGAAAUGAUACUAUUUUGUAUGAUACUGACUCAUACAAUUGGCUCUUUCUUUUGACUCAAACAGUUUUUGUCUUAUACAUGUUAAAAUCAGUCUUCCACACACCAGACAAUCUGUUCAUUCUUGCCUCCUAAGCUAGCCCUGUGCUGCUAUAAAUGGUAUAUUGAAAUAGUCCUGAGUAAGUGGACUUACAGAAUUGCAAUGUAGCAUAUUAACUAGGCAUAAAAUGGCUUUGUAUUUCUAGGAAAGAAAGUGAAAAAUAUCCUUGCUAAUCUUUAAUAUACUGACUUUUCACUUUGUCACCUAUGUCUGGUAUUUCUAUUUUAUGGAGUAUGUUUUAGAAAGUCAAACUGGCGUGAGAGAGAGAAAGAGGGUGGGAGAGGGAAAGAGGGAGACACUUAAAUUUUUUAGAAUGUGGCAGGAAUUGUCUUCUGCAACAAAGUAUAUCACUAUUUGAGAUAAGAAAGAAAACCAGGUCCAUUAAACCGAAAUGGAUACUCACUCAUAACUCUUUUAUUCAUUUGAUGUUAUGGUAUGGAUACAUGUUUACUCCAUUAGGUUCUGCCUGCAUUGAAAUUGAAACAAACUAGCAUAACAUCAGUUUCCUUACUACUAUGUUUUUGACUUUCCUUUGCAUAGAGGUGGAUAUUCUUUUGUGAACUUACUUGAAUUUCUUGAAAAUGUCUGUAAUGUUAUGAUUGCUUCAGUAACAAUUUCCUCACAAUUUUGAAAACAGUAUGGCUGUUUUAUAUUUUCCUGAACACCCUGAAUAUUAGUAAAUAUUAUUUAAGCCUUCUAAAUGAUUAUUGGAAUAGUGGGUCUUAAUGUUAUUCUAUGCCUGUAUUCCAAGAGAGACAACCAAAGGGCUCAUGUUGCUCAGAAGCAUAUUCAUUUUAACACAUUUUAUUUUAUAAAGAUGGUUGUCAUAAUAGCUCCCAUCUACAUGUUCUUUUGCAAUGUUACCUUGUGCCUCCCCCAUCAAAAAAAUAGUUUCUUUCUCCACCCCAUUGAAUCUGGUGGGUCCUGUAAUUGCUUUGACCAAUAGACGAUGACAGAAGUCAUAGCUAAUCUAUCCAUCAGAUUUAGCUAGUACAAUAUCUAGGGGCCAUGACACUUUUAGGGACCCAUGAUAAUGUUUUCAUUUCUCUUAAAAUCAGAAUUAACAAAUGAAAAUGAAAAUUUAGAUUUAAGAAAAUGUUUGAACAUUUGUUUACCUUUCUAUUAACACCAUCAUAAAAUAUAAUUAUAUGUAUUUAAAUUUAUUUAUUUAGUUGUUUGUCUAGUAGAGGAAGAUACCCAUGGAAGUAAAAAUGCCUACGGCUCAUGAAUAUCAGCCCUGGAGUAAAUGAUAUGAUGCCAAAUCUUAAUGGGCCAGGCAGCUUCUGCUUCCUGCCUUUUGGGAUAUUUGUCCUUGGGAUAUUCCCUCUCAAAAUCCAACUAUCAGACUGAGAUACAUCCAAACUAAUUGGAAAAGUCUUUAACAGCUGCACCUCAGCUCUCAGAGAUCAGCCAGUAUUCUGUCAACCAUGUGAGAGGGCUAUUUUGGUUGUCCAGCCCAGUCAAGCCUUCAGAUAACUUCAGCCUAGGUAUUACCUAAUGGCACCUGCAUGAGAGACUUCCUGCAUGAUCUGCCCAGCUUAGCCCAGUCAACCCAAAAUAUUGCAUAUGACAAUAGUAAAAGGCUGUGUUUUAAGUCACUGUUUUAGAGAGAUUUGUUAGGUGACAACAGGUAACUGAAACCUUGAUUCAUUCAUUCAUUUACAAUUUAUUGAGAAUUUUGUAAUGUGUUCUUUGGGAUACUAUGAUAUAAUAUUAAUAUAAUGAGGACUCUAUUGAUGAGUCUACCCAGAUCAACUGCUUCUUUAAAACCUUGGAGAGUGGAGGAAACAUGAAUCAAGGUGAAUGUUAACUAUACUCAAAAAGGAGAUGUAAGAUUAGUUUUAAGUAUAAAAAAUGUUACAGAUGACAGUAUCUGAAAUUCAUUGAAAGAAAAAUAUCUUCAUUAUUGUAAAGCCCAUUUGUAUGUUAAUUUUUUUUUUUUUUCUUUUUAGGGCUACACCUAUGGCAUAUGGAAGUUCCCAGGCUAGGGGUCUAAUUGGAAAGGUAGUUGCUGGCAGGCCUACACCACAGCCACAGCAAUGUGGGAUCUAAGCUGUAUCUGCAACCUAUACCACAGCUCAUGGCAGUGAUGGAUCCUUAACCUACUGAGCAAGGUCAGGGAUCAAACCCUCAUCCUCAUGAAUACUAGUCAGGUUCAUUAAUCGCUGAGCCAUGACAGGAACUCCUAAAAUAUAUAUUUUUUAAAUAAAAAUCAUUCAAACCCUGGUUCUACUAUCUUCUAGCUGUAUGUUUAUGAUUAUGUAUUUUAAAGAGUCUGUGCCUCAUUUAUCCGUGGUUCAUUUGGUUGUUGUGAGAAUUAAAUGAAUCAAUAUGUGCACAACUCUUAGGACAGUGCUGCAAGAUAAUGUGUGUAUAUUAGCCAUUUAAUAAAUGUUAGCUGUUUGUCUGUAUUUAUACUCAUAAGCAUGUAAUUAACAUCUAGAACAAAUAGGACUUGAUGGAAAGAAAGCAUGAACCAAGUGCCUUAUCUUCUUACCAUAUAUUUCAACCAUGAUAUAUUAAAUCCUCCUUUCAGAAGAUUUGUUUUCAGAGUCCUUUUUCUGAGAAAAGGGGCCUUAUUAUUUACAUCAUAAAAAUUAGCAUGAACUACAUGUUUGUGUUGGCACCUCUCAAACCCAAUUCCCAGGGGAGGGAAGUACAGUCCAGACAGAUGCUGUUCUUGUGUCAAGCUGAGGAAUCCCAAGCUUAUGGAACUUCAAUCUUUUAUCAGGAGCUACAAACAAAUCUUCCUGGUCUUUGUUCUGCAGGAAAAGUUUAUCUAAUAUUUACUGAGUACCUCUCAUGUGCUUGGUCCUGCAAGACCCCAUAUGAGUCAUUUCAUACAGAGUAAAUCAUUUAAACCUCCACAUAAACAAAACUAUGAUAGAGGUAUUGGAGAUGUUCAAGAAGGAUACAGAACUUAACCCUAGUUACAGGGCAUUGGAGGACAAAUCUGGAAUUUGAUCCGAAUUGGACUUUUUUCACCUGGCAUUAAUUCUACCUUGUUGUCUAGGGAAAAGAAAUAAUGGGGAAACUUCCUCAAAACCCACAACAUAAGAAAGAUAAAUCCAACUAUUCUCUAAACAUGUGGAUUUACAUGUUUAGAGAAAGUUGAUAAAAUAUUUUGGAUUUACACAGCUCUGAGGUCGAGGAAGGUGAAGUGUCAGCCCCCUGAUUGUUACCGUCCUUGAGGCAAGCAGACUCAGUGCUAGGAUUCAACAAGUGGCCUCGGCUCCAGUUUUCCAUCCCUGGUUUUUUUCUCUUGUUUCACUGUUUCGCUCCUUAUGCAUAGUUAGAAAGCUCUCAGGGAACUGAAAUUUCCAGCCCUAUCCAAUGCACAUUGCAUUGACUAGACACUCAGUCAUUUCAUGUUUUAUCCUCAGACUUAAACAUCUUGAGCAGGUAGGAUAGUAACAGCAAAUGCUCAGAGUAUUUACACUGUCUUAUAGGCAUGGUUCUGUGCCUUUACAUAUUUUAACUCAUUUUGUACAAGAACUUUCAUAAUAGGUACUACUAUUAUCCUCAUAUUUCAGAUGAGGACUUUGAGAUAGGAGAGGUUAAAUAACUUUUCUGAGACCACACAAUUAGAUAAGUGUUAGGGAUAAGAAUUAAAUUUGGGCAGUCUGGUUCAUAGUCUGUGCUCCUAAGCAUCCCAUUACUGCUAUCAAAAAAGCACAUUUUAUUGUUUCUUCCAUGUUGUUUCAUAUGAGGCUCUAGGCAGGCUCUCAGAGCUUUUGCUGCCAACUUACACCCUCAAACCACUCCUAGAAACUUUUUUUUUCUGUAUUUAAAUCAAUUACUCUUCCUAGAGAAAGAUUCAUUUCAGAUCAUUUUCAGAAUUUUUACUGUUUUUUGGUUGCUUGACUUAGUGUUUACAAAACGCUUAUUCCAGUAUCCCUCUUAAAUGAUUCAAUCUCAAAGGCUGAGCCUAACAUUAGAAACCUUAGAAAAGAAAUAUACAUGAAUCAUACACAAUUAAACCAGUGCAAUUUCAUUUGGUUCUAUUGACAACUUGCAGGGCCCACAAAAUUUUAAGGUGAUUGGCAUGCCUAGCUCCUCAAUGGAGAUGAAAAAUAAUAAAGAAGAGUUUCAAUGUUGUGUAAAACAAAAAUGGUAAAACAAGACAUCUUGCCGUUCAAGGAUGACUGCAAACCAUUCUAGAUAUACAAAAGGAACUCUUAGAAUCAUAUUUUCAUAAAUUUUAUGCAAAACUUUAAUUGAACCAUAUUGAAAUAUAUUAAAUAUUUGAGAAUUUUCAUGUUCAUGCACGUACUGGAAGCUCUUAAGAAAGGCUAUAUUACAUGAGUUAUAAAAAGUUCCAGGAAAUGAAUUUCCUUUUCAAAUAAUUAGCUAAAAUUUUGAAGUCAUUAAUUUUUUAAGUAUUUUUGAACUGAAACACAAAUGUUGACCAACCUGUUUUCUUAUUUCCUUCUGGGUCCAGCAACUCUCUGGUUUAACUUGGAGAACAUAAUAGGCUUUGACUAAGUAUGCAUUGUGUUAUUUUAAAUAUUCUGUGGGGAGAAAAUCGAUUAUUUUUCAUCACAUUCUAGUUGGAAAAAGAAUAUUAGUGUAUACAGGAGGAAAAUAUAAAGACUCAGACAAGAUAGUAGAAGGUAAUUUCAUGUUCAUUUUUUUCAGUUACAUUAGAAAAUGGGCCAAAAUGUGAAUGACAUAAUUAUAGAAGUAUUUACAUUAAUUGAGGUCGCAUCACAAAAAAAGUGACCUUACAAUUUUCAAAAUUGCUGGUAGUACUGUGCAGAUUAGUCAGUAUAAUGAGCCUCUAUUUUGAAACCCAAGAGAAAUAGAACAACAUGGUCAAAGCUGUGAAUUUUUAAUGCAUAGUUCCUGAUUCUUUUAGAAUUCUGGAAAUAAUACAUUCCCUCCCCCUGCCCCAUACAUACUUGAGAAGACCCACUGACCAAAGGUCAUGAUAGGAAAGAUUUAGAAGUCCUUAAGGAUGCAGGUGAAAGAGGGGAAGGUUGGUCAGGAUAGAGCAGUGAAGAGACAUUUAUAUAGAAAUGAAACUAUCAUCUGAUUUCAAAGAAAAAUAAAAACCUUUUCUUUUUCCACAUUAAAACUGAAGGUAAUGUAGGACAUAUGACUUCUCAACUCUACUUGAAAAUGAUAAGAACUCUGUUGAAGAAAAAAAUUGAGCUAUGAAUUUUUCAUUAUAUUUGAAAGUAGUUGUACAAGUUUAUGGCAGAUGAAUUCCGUUACAGUAUCUUUGGUUUCUGGUAUAACAAAUUCCUCACAUAAUAAAUCUUUUAUGACUCAAGAAAACUGUAUUUUUUUCCUAAAUAAACUCUUUCCUAUGAGAUGUUUUUCAAAAAGUGUAACAACUUUAGAAACCUUCAGUCGUGGCAUCUAUUUUUUGCUUUUGGCACAGUGAGACCAGUUCUUUAAUUCACAAAGGUAAUGCGGGUGUUCACAUUCCCAGGAAAAGCUAGCUUUUUUUGGUGGAGAAAGUUGCUUCUUGCUGUGUUUGUGAACAGAGGUGUGACCAACUUCACCACACUUUCUGCCCAGCGUUCUCAAGGCUGGGGGCAGAUUAUCCUGAUGGAUCUUCAUUGCUACUAUUGUAGCUGACUUUUAGUUAGAAGAGAGCAGUCUUCUACUCCAUUCUGACAAAAGCAGACAAUGAAAAGUAAACAGGAGAACUUUCUUCUCUUUGAGCCAAAAUAUCCUGUAGAGAAAGUAGCUUGCUAAUAGCAGUGCAACUGAAGCCCCCUUUUUGAUAAAAUCAAAGAGAACCAAGGCCCAGGAAUCAGAGUAGCUAAAUCAACACAAAUAUCAGAAAACAGGUCUUUAUCAGUUCAGUCAGUCAUUAUAUUUUCACAAGACUUUAUUUCAGAAUAUCACAACCUUGGUGUUAUCAACAUUUGGGGCUAGGUAUUUCUUUGUUGUGGGGACUGUUUUAUGCAUUGUAUAAUGUUUUGCAGCAUUUCUAGAUAUGCCUACUGGAUUAAUGUCCACAGCAACUAACUCCCUUUGCCCAGUAGUUGUGACAACCAAAACAUCUCCAGACAUUGCCAAAUUCCUCCUGAGAGUAACAUCUCCACUGGCUGAAACUAUUGCUUAUUGAAACAUAUGCAUAAAUCCUGGUAUAUAAAUAUUUAUUGAGUGAAUAAAUUAGCAAGUGAAGGUGAUUAAAUUGCUUAUCCCAUUGCCUGAUAUACAGUUGAAUACUUAGCAAAUAAUAAUUCUCCCUCUCAAAUCCCAGGUGUGAUAUAACUAAAUUGCCAAGAUGAGUUCCAAUUCUUGCCUUGGGAGGGUAGUUCAUCAAAAAUAGAUGUUUGUGAAUGAAAAAUACAUAAUGAAUUUCCAGUUGACAUGGACUCUUGAAAGUAAAAUUUGUCUCUGCACUCUACUAAUACCCCAUUGAAACAACAGAUUUUUUUUUUUUAAAAGCAUAAAUUCUCCCAAAUGGGAAAGGAGAUCAUAACAGUAAAAUUCCAGGGACCAAAAACCAAAACAAUACAUGGUAAAUAUUUUAGCCCACCUAAAAAAUAAUUUCAAGUUGGCAAUGGUGAAAGCUGUGAAGCACCAUGAUUUGCACACACACUUACCCACAAACACACCCCAGUGCUCAUGAAUUCAUGGCACCAGGUUCCAUUGGAAGUGAAAAUAUCAU